Molecule: ribosomal RNA, 371 nt
Filed under: uncultured bacterium
Lineage: Bacteria
Description: bacterial SSU rRNA
Rfam family: Bacterial small subunit ribosomal RNA
Source: RNAcentral
CAGGUGCUGCAUGGCCGUCGUCAGCUCGUGUCGUGAGAUGUUGGGUUAAGUCCCGCAACGAGCGCAACCCUUGUCAUUAGUUGCUACGAAAGGGCACUCUAAUGAGACUGCCGGUGACAAACCGGAGGAAGGUGGGGAUGACGUCAGGUCAUCAUGGCCCUUAUGGGUAGGGCUACACACGUCAUAUAAUGGCCGGGACAGAGGGCUGCCAACCCGCGAGGGGGAGCUAAUCCCAGAAACCCGGUCGUAGUCCGGAUCGCAGUCUGCAACUCGACUGCGUGAAGUCGGAAUCGCUAGUAAUCGCGGAUCAGCUUGCCGUGGUGAAUACGUUCCCGGGUCUUGUACACACCGCCCGUCACACCAUGGGAGCG